UUGUUUGCUAAUGCAGGUAUUUCAUUGCGGAGAAAAAUUUAAACACCCGCGUAUGGGAUUUGUGAUCAUAAUUUUCGAUAUAAGAUCUGCAGUAAAGUUUAAAGAAACGAAUAACUAAAUUAUUGGAUUGUGAAAAAAUAUCAUCGUACUAAAACUGGGAUUCCAGAUACAAUGUAUAUGCACAAUGGGAUGGUGCAUGUCUCAUUUGUUUGUAUGGGAAUUUGUAUGCAAUUCAUUACUCCCAUGCUGAAGUCCUUGCUGCACCAUACAAAAAGUCCAUUACAUUUUCACAUCAUUUCGGAAAAAGCCACAGAAAGUGACAUAUCAAAAUUGUUCAGAACAUGGGAUAUAAAUAAUGUGAAAUAUUCGAUUUACAAUGCAGAGCACAUGUUUUCUGAAAUAAGUUGGAUACCGAACAAACAUCAUUCGGGAAUAUACGGCCUCAUCAAAAUAUUAAUUCCUGAAAUAUUGCCACAGACAUUGGAUAAAGUUAUUAUGCUUGAUUACGACUUAAUAUUAUUGUGUGACAUAGUUGAGUUGUGGGCGUUUUUUAAAAAAAUGAAAAAUUACCAGGUCAUUGGCUUAACUGAAGAGCAAUCAAAUUUUUAUUUAGGAAAAAAUGGUUGGCCCGCUUUAGGCGCAGGGUUUAACUCAGGCGUCGUACUAUGGGACUUGAAGAAAAUUCGAGAAAAUUUAAUUUGGCCUAAUGUUUGGCGAAACGCUGUAGAAGAUAACCUUCCAAAACUGAAAUUCGUGAAACUGGCUGAUCAGGAUGUGUUAAAUGCUGCUAUUAAAAGAAAUCCAGAAUUCGUUUACAAGAUAGAUUGUAGGUUUAAUGUUCAGUUGACUUCGGCAUAUAUAGCAAAAAGUCGUUGCUACAAAGACAUUUCUCGUGUUAAGAUAUUCCAUUAUAAUAAUCAUGAUGUUUGGAGCGGUUAUACUUGGAAGGGUACUAAAGGAGACGCUUCUUUCUUUUCAAAAACAAUCCAAAAAUAUAUUUCUUAACAGAAAAUAACUGGUGUGUAUCUAUUACGAUAUUUUUUAAAUAAAUUAUUGAAAAUA
Plodia interpunctella (Indianmeal moth) is the source of this 1062-nucleotide long non-coding RNA. RefSeq lists it as uncharacterized. The transcript is spliced from 5 exons. NCBI's taxonomy places the organism in Eukaryota, Metazoa, Arthropoda, Insecta, Lepidoptera, Pyralidae. The record is from RefSeq and is a predicted model, not a curated record.